UAUGAAGCUCUUCUCGAUCUGUCUGUUCGUGGUAUUAUUACUACUUCAAGCUACGCUUGGUCUCCGAGUCGGUAAUGCCGGACUUGAAGGCCGUGAGAUUUUUGGCGGUUCGUCGCGUCAUCAGCCUCCAGGAGGUCCUCCGGGUCACGCAGGAGGCCGCCCUCCACCUCCGCCUCCACCUACCAAUGCGACAUCCAGUGGCUAGUAUUUACCGCCCGUCUCGUCUCACCGCUGCCUUUGAUUUCCAACGAAAGACCAACGGGUGCAACGCUCUCACCGGAAACUGAUUAUACUUUUUAAACGAAAAUUUUACAGCACAAACUGCAUAAAAUACGACAGCUCGCAACCGUAAUAAAGUUAAAUAUUGAA
Molecule: long non-coding RNA, 369 nt
Organism: Diprion similis
Lineage: Eukaryota; Metazoa; Arthropoda; Insecta; Hymenoptera; Diprionidae
Exons: 3
Source: RefSeq, a predicted model, not a curated record